This is a long non-coding RNA of Asparagus officinalis (garden asparagus), 1415 nucleotides long. RefSeq lists it as uncharacterized. The record is from RefSeq and is a predicted model, not a curated record. Lineage: Eukaryota; Viridiplantae; Streptophyta; Magnoliopsida; Asparagales; Asparagaceae. The transcript has 4 exons.
UCUCUUUGUUUUCUUUUAUUCAAUUCAUUAGCGGAUUAGUAGAAAGUAAUCACGAUUAUUUAGCAAUUAGGGUUUAUUUAAGUUGUGAGAGGAAGUUCUUAAAUUAAUGGGUUUAGUGUCGAUCUUGCAAUUUUAUAACUUAGAGAACUAUCAUUUUUUAUUCCCACGUCUCCUAAAGGAAAUUUACAGUUUUUCUAAAUAUUUUUUUUAAACAAAUGUGAUAUUGCAAUCUAGUUAAAUACUUACUCUCUACCUACUCUCUAAUGGUUAACAAACCUGUUAAACUCUAAUAUGCAUCAGUUGUUCAGGGAUUUGUUUGAAUUAUAAAUGCGGGAUGGCUACGAAAAUUAUAAUGGUAGAUGAACCAAAUUAUUGUCUCAAAAUGAUUUCUUUGCAGUGAUCACAGACUACAAUUAUGUAUUUUCCGAAAAUGGUCUUGUUGCUUACAAGAAUGGCGAACUCAUUGGCAAACAGAGCUUGAAAUCAUUCCUUGGAGAUGAAAAGCUCAAGGAGUUUAUUAAUUUCACACUUCACUAUAUUGCUGAUCUGGAUAUCCCCUUAAAAAGGUUGGUUGGAGCAGCUUGAUAUUGGAAUUACAGAUCCUAUCUUUUGUGGUUCGUUGUAACUUAUUUGUAUUCUCAGGUGUUGAGAAUCCUAUCGGGUCCGAUAUUCAUCAAAAGCUGCUUUUUGACUUUUGGAUUCUACAUGUGGUAUAUCGACAACUGUUUUCAUCUCUUAUAUUUACUGUCUUGUUGGUGAGGGUAUAUUUACUGUUUUGUUGAUGCAGUAACGUAUAUUUAUACGUAGUUGCUUCGGCUGAUCUUUGUAAGCUACCUUUGUAUUUUUUAUUGCGUUGAAAUACCGUCUAUUGGUGAAUUUUCAUGUGUCAUUUUGCUAAAAUGUGAAAGACGAAGAAGGUUCAUGCCUAAGUGUAGCUACUCUUUUGUGUUCGAACUUGCAAAAAGUGUAUAUAAUUUAAAUAUGGAUCGAAAUCCCCUUGAAUAGAUGUUCUGGAUGAAUUUUUUUGCUUUUAUGCUAUAAUCAUACUUCUAUUAUGUUUUUAAUUUUUUCUUAAAUAUAUCUACUCUUGCCUUGUUGACUUAUAUUUGAAUAUUUUGUAUCGUGUAGGAGCGGGUCAUCGAAAAGGUAAUCUCAUCAGGGGUCGAUUCAACCCUAGAGGAUGAUGCACUUUCUUUCAAGAGGACAUUCUUUGAGGAAUUUCUUCUUUUCCUUGACUUGAUUGAUUAUGUUGGAUAUUAGAGACAAAUAUAUAAUAUUAGAUGCUUUUUAUUGUGAGAUAUUGAGUAAUCAUUGUGUAUGUAUAUGUUUUGUCUCUAAUAUUGUAUAUUGAGUAAACAUUGUGUAUGAAUAUAUAACAUUGGAUAUUUAGCAAAGUUUGAAAUAUUUUGAUUUCA